GGGAAGAGCCCAAACCAACAAGCUUGCUUGUUGGGGUUGUAGGACACUCUAUACGGAGUUACAAAGGACGACAUUAGACGAAUCAUCUGGAAAGAUGAAUCAAAGAAGGUAAUAAUCCUGUAGUCGAAAAUGUUGUCUCUCUUGAGUGGAUCCUGAGUACGACGGAGCACGUGAAAUUCCGUCGGAAUCUGGGAGGACCAUCUCCUAAGGCUAAAUACUCUCUAGUGACCGAUAGUGAACCAGUACCGUGAGGGAAAGGUGAAAAGCACCCCGGAAGGGGAGUGAAAUAGAACCUGAAACCGUGUGCUUACAAGUAGUCAGAGCCCGUUAAUGGGUGAUGGCGUGCCUUUUGUAGAAUGAACCGGCGAGUUACGAUUUGAUGCAAGGUUAAGCAGUAAAUGUGGAGCCGUAGCGAAAGCGAGUCUGAAUAGGGCGUUUAGUAUUUGGUCGUAGACCCGAAACCAGGUGAUCUACCCUUGGUCAGGUUGAAGUUCAGGUAACACUGAAUGGAGGACCGAACCGACUUACGUUGAAAAGUGAGCGGAUGAACUGAGGGUAGCGGAGAAAUUCCAAUCGAACCUGGAGAUAGCUGGUUCUCUCCGAAAUAGCUUUAGGGCUAGCCUCAAGUGAUGAUUAUUGGAGGUAGAGCACUGUUUGGACGAGGGGCCCCUCUCGGGUUACCGAAUUCAGACAAACUCCGAAUGCCAAUUAAUUUAACUUGGGAGUCAGAACAUGGGUGAUAAGGUCCGUGUUCGAAAGGGAAACAGCCCAGACCACCAGCUAAGGUCCCAAAAUAUAUGUUAAGUGGAAAAGGAUGUGGCGUUGCCCAGACAACUAGGAUGUUGGCUUAGAAGCAGCCAUCAUUUAAAGAGUGCGUAAUAGCUCACUAGUCGAGUGACACUGCGCCGAAAAUGUACCGGGGCUAAACAUAUUACCGAAGCUGUGGAUUGUCCUUUGGACAAUGGUAGGAGAGCGUUCUAAGGGCGUUGAAGCAUGAUCGUAAGGACAUGUGGAGCGCUUAGAAGUGAGAAUGCCGGUGUGAGUAGCGAAAGACGGGUGAGAAUCCCGUCCACCGAUUGACUAAGGUUUCCAGAGGAAGGCUCGUCCGCUCUGGGUUAGUCGGGUCCUAAGCUGAGGCCGACAGGCGUAGGCGAUGGAUAACAGGUUGAUAUUCCUGUACCACCUAUAAUCGUUUUAAUCGAUGGGGGGACGCAGUAGGAUAGGCGAAGCGUGCGAUUGG
RNAcentral lists this ribosomal RNA (1240 nucleotides) under Staphylococcus aureus. Its description in RNAcentral is "partial 23S ribosomal RNA". It matches the Rfam family "Bacterial large subunit ribosomal RNA", at positions 260 to 1501 of the family's 2925-position model. The record is from RNAcentral. Lineage: Bacteria; Bacillati; Bacillota; Bacilli; Caryophanales; Staphylococcaceae.